GGUGAUGUGUCAGAGUGGAUUAUUGAGACAGUCUUGAAAACUGUUGAUGUUUACACAUCCGUGGGUUCAAAUCCCACCGUCACCGCCA
Molecule: transfer RNA, 88 nt
Filed under: Herelleviridae sp.
Lineage: Duplodnaviria; Heunggongvirae; Uroviricota; Caudoviricetes; Herelleviridae
Description: tRNA-Ser
Rfam family: tRNA
About the family: Transfer RNA (tRNA) molecules are approximately 80 nucleotides in length.
Source: RNAcentral